AACUUUGCAUUAAAGUGAGAGGGGACCCCCCGGAUUUUACCCUAU
RNAcentral lists this ribosomal RNA (45 nucleotides) under Naegleria sp. NGES3. Its description in RNAcentral is "partial 28S ribosomal RNA". Lineage: Eukaryota; Heterolobosea; Eutetramitea; Acrasida; Naegleriidae. The record is from RNAcentral.